UCAUACGUGCUGUAUAACAGAACCAUUGGACAGAAUGUUUGCAAGCAAGUUGCUAACCAACAUUCUAUAGAACAGAGUGUAUUCAGUGAUGACUCACAGAUAAAUUACUUCACCCUCACGGACCUCAAACUGGGUGUGCCAUUUGCUGUAGAUUGACUCAACGCUUAACCCUUCCAGUCAGACACCAGUCGCCAAGUUAAUCGAUUUCAUUGCCAGACUGAGAAUUCUCCAAGCCUUCUGAAUUUAAUUUAAACUGAUUGCAUACUGAAUGAGUUUGAAGGACUGUAAGGCAAAAGUGCGUCUGCUCCAGAACUGAUCUACCAAAUGUUCAUUGGUCUGUGCUGGUGCGAAGAGCAUUCUGAGUCUAGCGGCCCGGCCCCGGAGGACGUGGUGAUCUACUGGGCGCACACGGGUAUAAACAAGAGUUGCCGUGCAGCAACCAGGGUCGAGCAGAUAUCUGAAUAGCUGAAGUCCAUCUCUGUCUCCCAAGAGUUAAAUCGACAAACAAAAAAUGGAAUUGAGUCCCACUGAAAGAAUUGAAGAUCUCUGCUGAAACCAGUCACUGUGGACAGGGGGAUUCCACCUCCUCACUGGCCAUUCUGAGACACGGGUCCAAACUCAGAGCUAGGGUUCAAGGCAGCUCAGCAAACCACAUGGGCCAAUGAUGGAACAAGGCAAGCACUGGUUCUGUUACUGGAAGAACGGGGAAAGGAUGUUGGGGAACUGAAAUCAAGAAAUGUCCAUGAUCACAUACAGAAACUCUACUCUUUUACAUCCUCUCCAACACCAAUUUCGUUACUGAUGUCACAAAUACCAUCUUUUUAUAUUUUGUAUCCAUUAACAUGGGGGUAUAGUUUGUAUUUUGGGCUUUUAUCCUUUGAAUCCUACACCAAAAUUAAAAGUGAUUUAUGCACCACCAUUCCAAUA
Herpailurus yagouaroundi (jaguarundi) is the source of this 927-nucleotide long non-coding RNA. RefSeq lists it as uncharacterized. Lineage: Eukaryota; Metazoa; Chordata; Mammalia; Carnivora; Felidae. The transcript has 4 exons. The record is from RefSeq and is a predicted model, not a curated record.